Molecule: long non-coding RNA, 495 nt
Organism: Gadus macrocephalus (Pacific cod)
Lineage: Eukaryota; Metazoa; Chordata; Actinopteri; Gadiformes; Gadidae
Exons: 2
Source: RefSeq, a predicted model, not a curated record
CCACAUGUUAGUGAGAACAGCCUGCCAACUGACCACAUGUUAGUGAGAACAGCCUACCAACUGACACAGAUGUUAGUGAGAACAGUCUGCCAACUGACACACAUGUUAGGGAGUACAGCCUACCAACUGACCGUAUAAAUAGUGUACGACCAGAAUACUUGACACCGGCACCAUCCCGAAAGGACCAGCUGUGUUGAAGCAGGUUUGUGGCUAUAUCGUUACCUUGGGGGACCCCGGUAGGAAGCCGUCCGGACAGCGGGAGCGGCUCAGGGACUGUUAACGGGACAUCGGUCCCUGGAGGUGAGACAUCGGUCCCUGGAGCAGGGACAUCGGUCCCUGGAGCAGGGACAUCGGUCCCUGGAGGUUGUGUUAUCGUGUACCCGGGGGUUGACGUGAUUUCUGAAAGCUCGUACUCUGUCGUUGAUGAAUUGAGAAGUUCUUCUUUAGAAUUUCCGUCAAUGUUCAACUCGACACUGGAGUUGUAACUUGAAGAAU